Molecule: non-coding RNA, 70 nt
Filed under: Dialister succinatiphilus
Lineage: Bacteria; Bacillati; Bacillota; Negativicutes; Veillonellales; Veillonellaceae
Also listed under: 1 other name
Description: Fluoride sequence
Rfam family: Fluoride riboswitch aptamer (crcB RNA motif)
Source: RNAcentral
CCCGCAAACGGCGAUGGAGUUCGCCGGGCGUAGGCCGAAUGCUCUUUGAGCUGAUGACUCCUGUCCCCCU